This is a long non-coding RNA of Stomoxys calcitrans (stable fly), 1616 nucleotides long. RefSeq lists it as uncharacterized. The transcript is spliced from 6 exons. Lineage: Eukaryota; Metazoa; Arthropoda; Insecta; Diptera; Muscidae. The record is from RefSeq and is a predicted model, not a curated record.
UCCAAAUUUUACUUCUUUUGAAAAAUUUUUCAAAAUUUUUUUCUUAUAAAAAAUUUGGUGUUUUUUUUUGUUCUUUUUUCACUUUUACUGUCGCGUCAUUGCAAAUUGUGCAUUGUUCGAAUGCACAUGAGAGACGUUGUGCUCUUACCAAUGCAGGCUAGUUCAUGGGGGCAUCAUUGGCAAUGCAUGUACUCCAAUAUAUUGAAGCACACAAAUACACAUGCAGACUCUCAUGCCAUGCAAACUUUGACCACAUAGCCUAGAAUUUCCGCAUCCUUUGCGAAAAAUUUCCGGUCUGGUGAUCUUUGGUGGUUAUGGUCAAAUGUUUUGAAUUUUAUAAAUGUACCAAAGAGUACAAGAGGACAACAUCGGCUGCUCUGUUAUGAGAUCCUGUUCCCACACAAUAAGUUUGAUAUAAAAUUCAACCAAUUGGAAACACCACUGAUGGGAUCUCAGAGCUGCACAGUAAGCCAUACGCUUCACCUAAUACGAAUUUCUGCGACUUUUGCCCCAUCCAAACAUUAAAGAUCAUCAGAGCGGAAGAAUUAUUCGAAAUACAAGGAAAUAGGAUUAUGUGAGGCAAACAGUAUAAAUUACACUCAUGCCCGCAUUGUUGCCAAUGCUGUACUGCUGUUGCCGCUCACAAACAAGGAGAGAGAGAAAGAAAACAUUGAAAUGCUUAAUCCAAGUGACAAAUUUUUCGAAUGGUAGCACAGUGGUUGAACAGCAAUAAGGCCUCCCUAAAUAUUCUGUGCUCCCAUGACUUUUGCUUUCGCUCCACUGAACUUUGCAUAAUGUGGUGGUUGGUGCCAAUAGAUGGAUGGCUGGCUGGACAGAAUUCAUUCAAAUAACAAAUUAAAUGCAAUUGCUACCCUGGUGACGUCUACAAUGUCUAACUAAAUUAGUGCCUACUUUUAGGCUUCUGCUGAUAUCUGCUUUCCUGCUGUAUAUUCGUAUGCUUCAAGUUUUUGAAAUUAUAAAAAAAAACACAGACUAAUCUCUUCCGGCUUAACUCGAGAAUCAGUUGUACUCAAGUAGAAAUGACCUGAAAGGGAUAUCAGAAUCCGAAAAAGGAUUGCAGUAUGAAAAGCAAGGAUAUUUGGUAUCCACCAAGGAUAUUUGGUAUUCAUUCAUUUCUCUUUGCAAUGUGAAAUGAAUUUCAAACUGGCGUAACUUGGCUAACAGGCUUUCAGAAUUUUCAACAAUCAUGCCGUGUAGCUGAGAAUUUGUAUGGCAUAGCCAAAUACGUCACCGGACACAAAACUAUCACACUUGGAUGAGAAGCAGUCAAUGGAUCGAAAAUUGCCAACAGUGAUGUUCAUGGCAUGGCAUUCUAGCACCAUAAUGGUUGGUUCGUCUGUUUGGUGUAGAGUGCCGCCACCGCACUCAAAUGAGAGAAUUCAUGCCAUUUGGGCAGUAGCAGCUCUAAAUCCAAUACACUGGGCACAUGACUUCAGGGCCGCAUGAGUAAAGCGGCAGAAAUCAGCCAACGUGAACCAUCAUCACACUUGGAUGGGGAAAUGUGCAUUGGAGUGCAACUGCCCAUUGAAGUUUAUGCUGUGGAAACCAAUGUAUUGGGAUUGCAUAAUAUCGGAAAAGGCAGAAACUAAAAAAAA